CCUACGGGAGGCAGCAGUAGGGAAUUUUCCGCAAUGGGCGAAAGCCUGACGGAGCAAUACCGCGUGAGGGAUGACUGCCUAUGGGUUGUAAACCUCUUUUUUCAGGGAGGAAUAAAUGACGUGUACCUGAAGAAUAAGCAUCGGCUAACUCCGUGCCAGCAGCCGCGGUAAGACGGAGGAUGCAAGUGUUAUCCGGAAUCACUGGGCGUAAAGCGUCUGUAGGUGGCUCGACAAGUCAACUGUUAAAUCUUGAAGCUCAACUUCAAAAUCGCAGUCGAAACUAUCGGACUAGAGUAUAGUAGAGGUAAAGGGAAUUUCCAGUGGAGCGGUGAAAUGCGUAGAGAUUGGAAAGAACACCGAUGGCGAAGGCACUUUACUGGGCUAUUACUGACACUCAGAGACGAAAGCUAGGGUAGCAAAUGGGAUUAGAUACCCCAGUAGUCCUAGCCGUAAACAAUGGAUACUAGGUGUUGAACAGAUCGACCUGUGCAGUACCAAAGCUAACGCGUUAAGUACCCCGCCUGGGAAGUAUGCNCGCAGUAGUAGAACUACAAUAGAAGUAGACGGCGUGAGACGUCGCCGACGGACGACGACGAGGGAGGUUAGG
This 607-nucleotide ribosomal RNA is filed under the name uncultured bacterium. RNAcentral's name for it is "bacterial SSU rRNA". It matches the Rfam family "Bacterial small subunit ribosomal RNA", at positions 338 to 956 of the family's 1533-position model. The record is from RNAcentral.